CUCAUAGUACCUGCUGACUGGUCCGAAAGGCCGUUGAAUGCUACGACGCGAUACCGCCGUCUUGAAACACGGACCAAGGAGUCUAGCGUAUGUGCGAGUCAACGGGCAAAUAAAAGACCCUACGGCGCAGUGAAAGCGAAUUGUAACCCGGUAAAACGGAGCAGUUUGAGCGGCAGUGAUAUCUUCGGAUGAUCGGACCGACCUAGAGCACAUACGAUAGGACCCGAAAGAUGGUGAUCUUUGCGUGGGUGGGACGAAGCCUGGGGAAACCCUGGUGGAAGUUCGAAGCGGUGUUGACGUGCAAAUCGCUCGUCUAACCUGCGCAAAGCGACUAAAGAUCAAUCGAACCAUCUAGUAGCUGGUUCCCUCCGAAGUUUCUCUCAGGAUAGCUGACCGACGAUAAUGUGGUUGUUGUGGGCGGUAGAGCGAAUGACUAGCAUGUUGGGGGAGUGACCCUCCUCCGGAUGAUUCUCAAACUCUCAAUGUUCAUGCGUAAAGGGGUUCCGGGGUCGUAAUUGCCCCGGUCCUCGCCAUAUUUGAAAAACGUCGGUCGUGUGGGCCAUUUUUGGUAAGCAGAACUGGCGAUGCGGGAUGAACCGUACGCACGUUUAAGGCGCUAAAAUACUCGCUCAGAGACCCCAAAAAAGGUGUUGAUCCAUAUAGACAGCAGGACGGUGGCCAUGGAAGUUGGAAUCCGCUAAGGAGUGUGUAACAACUCACCUGCCGAAUGGGUUGGCCCUGAAAAUGGAUGGCGCUGAAGCGAGUUGCCGAUGGCGGGCCGUUCGGACCACCUAAUUCGUGUCUAUAGAAUAAAGAGCCAAAAACCCCAUACCUUUUAUGUAUAUUAUGAAAAUUUCUUUAAAAAACAUACCCUAUCAUUGACCCUUUACACAAAACWGCUAAACAGCUUAUCUCUUUGUUAUAUAUACAUAAAUGAAUGACACCUAUCCGAAUGAGUAGGAGGGCGUGGAGGUUGCGUUGAAGCGUGCGGGGUAACCUGGCGUGGAGCGGCCUCUAGUGCAGAUCUUGGUGAUAGUAGCAAAUAUUCAGCAGCGAUCCCCGAAGGGUGAAGCGGGGAAGGGUUCCACGCGAACAUUGAUUGUCCGUGGGUCAGCCGUGCCUAAGGCGAGUGGCAAUAGCUACGAAAGCCGAAAGGGAAUCAGGUUAAUAUUCCUGAGCUCAGACUGUAGUUGUGUGACCGCGGUNACGCAUUUCUUGUUGUUGGUGGUGACACCGGUGCGCUCGCUGGGCAGAGUUUUCUUCUCUGUUUGACUGCGUUCCGCGUACUGUGGAGUCCGAUUAUCGGGAGAAGCAGGCGCGAUGGGGCACAGCGCCGCGAAAUAUUUGCGGCGUCCGGCUCGAGCACAUUCGGUCCUUGAAAAACCAUCUACUGGGUCGAAUUACGAAAGUAGUUCGAUUAAAGAAGUCCCAACUAC
This 1436-nucleotide ribosomal RNA is filed under the name Opephyllum martensii. RNAcentral's name for it is "LSU rRNA". It matches the Rfam family "Eukaryotic large subunit ribosomal RNA", at positions 593 to 1838 of the family's 3401-position model. Lineage: Eukaryota; Rhodophyta; Florideophyceae; Ceramiales; Delesseriaceae. The record is from RNAcentral.